Rattus norvegicus (Norway rat) is the source of this 7645-nucleotide non-coding RNA. The record is from RefSeq and is a predicted model, not a curated record. Lineage: Eukaryota; Metazoa; Chordata; Mammalia; Rodentia; Muridae.
UUAGCUCGGUGGUAGAGCGCUUGCCUAGGAAGCGCAAGGCCCUGGGUUCGGUCCCCAGCUCCGAAAAAAAGAAAAGAAAGAAAAAAAAAGAAAAGAAAAAAAAGAGCACUGGCUGCUCUUCCAGAGGUCAUGAGUUCAAUUCCCAGUACCAGCAUGGCAGCUCACAACCAUCUGUAAUGGGAUCUGAUGCCUUCUCCCGGUGAACAGACAAACAUGCAGAAAAACACCCAUAUUUAUGCAUAAAUAGAUCUUUUUAAAAAACUCAACAAGCAAAUGAUGAUGAUGAUGGUGGUGGUGGUGGUGGUGGUGGUGGUGGUGAUGACAAACUGCACAGUUAAGAAUGGGGUUUAUGAUUGAAACCCCAAUAUAUGGGAGGGGGUUCAGGAAGAUCAGAAGUUUAAAAUCAUCCUUGGCUACACAUUGAGGUUAAGUCCAAACUAGGCUACAUGAAUCCUAUCAAUCAAUCAAUCAAUCAAUCAAUAAUACAAACAAAAAGCUAGAUAUGAGUUUGAGACUAGCCUAAGUUAUACAGUGAGGUUCUGUCUCAAAAAUAAAACAGAGGGAAAAGAUACACAACUCAGGUGUUGACACCCACAACCAGAGGAUCAGUACACAUGGUGACCUGUGGGGCAGCCCAGGACCUGGAGACCGGAGGGGUCCGGAUACAGGAAGCUAGGCUUGGCUCUCCAGGCCUAUGGGGUGGACAGAGGAACCCCCUUGUUACAGUUGGAUAUUGGAUAUAGCUUCCUCAGUCUCUCCCUCAGUUUCCCUCUCUGUGGGGAUGGAGAAGACGAUGGAUGGCCUGGCUUUGUGGGGACAAACCGUAUGUGGCUAAGCAACUAACCGAAGGGGUUGGUCUGGUGCCGCUUGCACUCAAUGCUAAAUUCUGAACCCCAACACCCGGUUGCUCCAAGAUCCUCACAGAUACCAGCAUUUCUUAUGUAAACCUUGCUCCCCAACUACUGCGGAGGUGAGGUUUGAGUUUCAGGCCUGGAGAUCACAGGCAGGGAGCACAGAGGAGAGAAGAGAGAAAGAGAAGGAUCUCAGAGGAGGAGAAGGUGGUCUCUGUAAGUCGUGAUGGACCAGAGUGGGUACCUCCCCAGGACACCAGGCUGCUGGAGCAGAAAUAACCCGGAGAAUUUCAAACAAUUAUUUGUGGAGCACAGUUGAGGUAGUAGCCAGACUAUAGUUGAUAUUUAGAUUAGGGUAAUCCUCCAGUAACUAUGCAGAGCCUAAUACAUAAGUAAAUAUCAUAGCUUGAGUAUCAGUCAUUUAAAACUGGACAGGGAUAAGUUUAAUAAAUAUUAUUUCAGGGGCCAGUUUGUUGUAGUCAUUAUUAUGGGGGUUUGCUACACCCCUUUUUGAUUUUAUCUAUGUAUUAUCUAUCUAGACCAGACAGUUCCCAAAUCAAAGACACAAAAGCCUUUAGAUUUAUAAUAAGCUUAAAAGCGCCAAGGUUGGGCAGAUAUCAACCUUCUGUGCUCUUUUGUCUAUGUCCCUGUCAUAACCCCGAGAUGUCUCCUCACAUGUUCUGCCUAGGCCACUCCUACUCCAUGAGGUCAACCUUCAUGGCCAUGUGUUCACGAUCCAUCUACUCAUCCCAUGGUCAUUUCUUUCUUCUCCCUCAUUCUCCUGGUGCUCCCUGCCUGAGAAGCUCUCCCCUGUCUCUUCUGCCCAGCCCAGGCUGUGGGCAUCUGUAUUAACCAAUGAGGGCUAACUUAGGAAGGGUGAUCAAGGGGUACACAACAAGCCUGGUGUACAUGAGGAUCUCUGGGGCCAGUAUGCAGCAUUUUAAUAUACAGCAGCACCAGACCAAUCCCCUACAAUUAACAUUGUCUCCACCCAUACACAUACCCAGGCUGGAGAGAUAGCUCAGUGGUUAAGAGCCCUGACUGCUUUUCCCGAGGUCCUGAGUUCAAUUCCCAGCAACCACAUGGUGGCUCACAACCAUCUGAAAUGGGAUCUGAUGCCCUCUCCUGGUGUGUCCGAAGUGAGCGACAGUGUACUCAUAUAUACAUGAAAUAAGUAAAUCUUUUAAAAAAAAUUGUCUUCCCGCAUCCCCAUCUGCUUUGAAACAGAGUUUCGAUAUAUAACUCUGGCUGCCCUGGAACCCCCAGAGAUCCGGAUGCCUCUGCCUCCCCAGUGCUGGGAUUAAAGGUGUGCGUCACCAUGCCCCAGUGGAAUACUUUGUUUAUACUUCCUCCCUGCUUUAGUUUGUUUUCUAUCGUUUUUUUGUCCCGAAAUGCUGGGAAAGAACCCAGCACUCACAUGUUAGGCAAGUGCUCCACCAUUGAGCCUCACUCCCAAGCCCUCUUUUUACUUCAUUCCCAGGUUCAGGCUGGGCUUUGACCUGAAAUCCUCCUGCUUCCGUGUUCUGAGAUGCUGGUGCAGGUCUAUGCCACCAGGAUUGUCCCCUGCCAUCUAAAGGGAAGAAUGAAAGCUUGGUCUUCUAGGUCCCAUCCAAGCUCUGACACUGCAAUACCACAUGUGUACCCACUGUCAACCCCAUGACCUGGUGGCCACAUGUCCUCACACACAGGAAGUGGCUUCGGUGGAGGGUGGGUGACUGCUGAACACACCCCAUGCCUCCCUGUUGUUGGCAGGCAUCCCACCCAGGCAAGCCUGGGAAACAGCACCCGGGAAAGCAGAGGUGGGAAGAAAGGAAAUGGCUCGGAGGGAGAUGAGAAGCAGGUCAUGAAGGCAACCGGUGGCUUGGGGCUGAGGCAGGAGGCUCCUCAGUUAAAAGCAACACAAAACCCAAGGGCAGCCUGGGUAGCUUAGCAGGAACCUGACUGAAACAAGGCCCUGGGUUCCAUCCCCAGGAUCAAACCAUGAAAUGGAGUGGGGGUCCACAUGACGGAAAAAGAGCACCGACCUCAACAUGGUGUCAUUGCAUGUGAGUGUACACACACACACAUACACACACACACACACACACACACACACACACACACACAAAACAAAAACUGGCAGCUGGAGAGAUGGCUCCUAGGUUAAGAGCCCUGGCUGUGGGGCUGGAGAGAUGGCUCAGUGGUUAAGAUUGCUGACUGCCCUUCCAGAGGUCCUGAGUUCAAAUCCCAGCAACCACAUGGUGGCUCACAACUACCCGGUGUGUAGGAAGACAGCAACAGUGUACUCAUAUACAUAAAAUAAAUAAAUCUUUAAAAAAAAAAAAAGAGCCCUGGCUGCUCUUCUGGUGGACUCAGGGUUUGAUUUCCAGCACCCACACUGUGGUUCCUAAGAGCCUGUAACUCCAGUUCCAGGGACUUAGGUGCUGUCCUCUGGACUCCAAGGGCACAGGCAUGCAUGUGGUGCAUACACAUGUAUGUAAGCAAAGCUCUCAAAAACACAAACCAAAUACAUUGCGGGGGAGGGAGGGAGAGGGAAGGAGGGAGAGAGGGAGGGAGGGAGGGGGAAGGAGGGAGGGAGAGAGAGAGAGAGAGAAAUGGGAAGCCAGCAGGCAGCAGGGCUGCCAUGCAAUGCCAACUACUUGAUGUGCUGACAAAAGAGGACUGGAAGUCCCCAACCUGGGCUACAGGUGUAGUUGCAAGAGCUUGUCUCUGAAUAAAAGCCAAGAAAAAACUGGAGUGGCGGCUGUGUGAAGGUGCGACCCUGGCAGCCGUGAAUCCCUGGUUUCCCUCUCAGUACAGAAGAAAAGAGUGGGCAUCGGGGCAGGGGUACAGACAGAAAGCUGGGAGGAAAAGUGUCCUAGGAGCAGGAGACCUGGGGAGCAGUUAGGGGACAGGUUGAUCCCAAUGUGGGGAAGACAGCAGCAAGAAAAUAAUCCCAGGAACAGGAAUCCCAGAGGGAGCCCUUGGGAGAAGGGCUGGUGUGGGGGAUGGGUGAGUCACUUCCUUGAUGAUUCACCCACCACUGGGCUGGCUGCAUGCCAGGUUCCCAGGGGACUCCUGGGGUCAUACAUUAUGAAUAGGAUUGGUAGAGCAGGGCCAGUGAACUCAGAGGGUCCCUUGAAAGCUCCGUGUUUGUCUGACUGGGUUCCCUCAGGCCAUAGAGAGGCUUUGAGUGAAACUCACCCCCUCAAAGCUGGUGUCCUGAGGAGGGGCACUCUAGCCAGUCAGUUUCCCCUCAACUCAGAAUUCAAUUCCUCUUCCUCCUCUCGGGCCAUUGAGCUGAAUUUCUUCUCCCACAUCCAUCAGAACCCAGUUCCUCUUUGGGGGACAGACCACAAAAUGUCCUUCCCUUCAUGCUGGGCCCCAAGGGCAAUUCAGUUCUUAAAGUCCAGUACCAGUAUGUGUGUCUGUGUGUGAACGGCCCUGGUGCCUUCUACCUUGAACCUCGGCUCAUCAAGCAGGCUUGGCUAGGUAGCCAGCAAGCCCCAGGGAUAAAGCACUGUGAUCACAAGUGUGUCAUCACAUCCAGCUGCCUUCACACAAAUCAUUUACUGACCGAGCCCUCCCUCCAGCCCUCAAGUCACUUUUUUUUUUUUUUUUUUUUGGUUCUUUUUUUCGGAGCUGGCGACCGAACCCAGGGCCUUGCGCUUCCUAGGUAAGCGCUCUACCACUGAGCUAAAUCCCCAACCCCCUCAAGUCACUUUUGAAAAAAUAAUAUUGAUUUAUUUUUAGGUGCCUGGAUGUUCUGUCUGCAUGUAUAUUGCCUGGGGCAUAGGCAGGUAGGAAGAGGGCAUUAGAUGCCCUAGGACUGGAGUUACAAAUGGUUGUGAGCUACUGUGUGGUUCCUGGGAACUCUCUGACCUCUUCAGGGGCAGCAAGUGCUCCUAACCACUGAGCCAUCUCUCCAGCCCUUUAAGGGAUUUAAGUCUCAGAACCAUGGCCAGGUGUGGUGAUGCACAUUCUCAGUGCCAACACUGGAGAAGCACUGUGGGAGAACUCUGCUGGAGGCCAGCCGGGUCUACAUAGGGAGCCAAAGUUUUACAGGAAGACCCUAUCUUAGCAACAUGACAGAAGUAGGGGGAUAGUACAAAAUCAGUCACGGCUACAUAGCUACAGCGCCAAACCCUGUCUCAAAACAAAAACCGAAACAGACUCAAAAUGAAGCCAGACCUUAUUGCACAAAUCUGUAAUUUCAGCAGUCGGAGGUGGAGGCCAGAGGACCAGAGGUCCUCUUAGCCACCCUGAAACCUUGUUUACAAGAACAAAACAAGAAACAAAUAACCAAACAAACAGGACUCAGAGCAACAUCCAUCAGGAGAGUCAGGAGGGUCAGGAGGGUCAGGAGGUAGCCGGGGUUAUGUCCGAUAUACACAAGGAGAAACUGAGGCUUGAAGCGAGAAAAAAGAUGAAUGGUCCAACCAGGCCAGAGCAGGGACAAUAGACUGGAGUAACAGAGCUACCCAAGCCUGGAUGGGUUCUUCAUCCCUUGGGCUGGGCUGGGCUCUGCCCCACCAUCCUAAAGCCAUUGGCCAGACCGCCUACAUGUGGAGACUUGGAAAGUAAUCAAACGGGAGCAGAGCCGUUCCAUUCUGCUCCCAGACACAUCUGGUUCAAAUUCCCAAGCUCAGAUUGGAGCCAAGGGACUCCUUCUUAGGGAAUCCAGAAGUGGGGGGUAGGCAGCCUUUGUGCUGCCUGCCAGGGACAUCCCUGCAUCUCACCCAGAAAGAAUAAUCACAGUGAUAAAAGUGUCUACUUAGGCGUGUGUGUGUGUGUGUGUGUGUGUGUGUGUGUGUGUGUGUGUGUGUGUGUGUGUGGCGUGUUUUGAGACAGUAUCUCAUUGUGUAGUUCUGGCUGGCCUGGAACUUACUAUGUAGACCAGGUUGACCUCCAACUCCCAGGGUUACAGAAGCCUCCUGCCUCAGCCUCUUUGGUGCUGGGAUUCAAACCUUAGACACCAGCUAGCUAGGCUGGUUGGUUGGUUUGCAAGACAAGGUGCCAUGUGGCUUGAAACUCAGCAUGCAGCAGAGAACGAUGACCUUGAACUUCUGAGCCUCCUGCCAAACUACCUGGGUACCACGAUAGCAGACAUAGACACCACACACCCACACGUUCAGUUAAUUCAAACUGUAAACCAGAACGUUUGUAUACAAACUCCUGGCCCUUGAAACACUACGGUAAAAUGCAGCUGCUCUUGUUCCAUUUCCCAGAGGAGGAAAGUGCAACCCAAGGUCACUGUGACCCAGCCUAGUGACAGCCAGGCAGGCCUCUGCAGCUGUUUGCCACCAACUGUGACACGCUGGGACUCUUAUUUCCUGGCUCCAGAGCCAAACCACUGAGCUGCCUGCCACCUGCCACCAGCCACUACCACACAGGCCAGUCAUUGUGGUUAGGGCAACCCCGGUGUGUGACCCAAGUUCCAUAUCCUGGGGUAACUCCAGCUUGUGCCCCAAGUUCCAGUUUUUUUCUGUUUGUUGUCACGUUACUUAGGUAACUCAGCAGUCAGACAACGGUUGAGGCACCCAGGGUGGGGUGGGAAAGGAGACCAGGAGAAUCACAAUGAAAGCCAAGUUCAAAACACAGCCUGGUAAGAUCCCUUCAGCAAACAGCUCAGUCCCAGGCAGGUCCUGAGACAGCGACAGCAGGGGACGGUGUGUGUGUGUGUGUGUGUGUGUGUGUGUGUGUGUGUGUGUGUGUGUGUGUGUCAUGGUGGGUGGGGGAGAGUUCCUACCCUCAAAAAAAAAAAAAAUGGAAACCCUCACAAGGGUUUUACCUCACAUUAAGAGCGUCUGUAUGGCAAACAGUUUGCAAAGCGUACUUUAACCUGCACUUAUUUUUGUGUUUUACUACUUUACUACUGUUAUGUGUUUUGUCUGCAUGUGCCUUUGUACACUGCAUGUAUGUUUAUGUACUGCAUGUGUGUCUGUACACUACAUGCCUGGUGCCUGAGAAAGCAGAACAAAGUGUGGAUCCCCUGGAACUGGAGUUACAGACGCUUGUGAGCCACCACAUAGGUGCUGGGACCCAACCAGGUCCUCUCUUAAUGCUCUUAACCUCGGCACCACCCCAGCCCUAGCCUGCAUUUCUUUUUCUUUUGGUCUUUUGAGGCAGGGUCUUGCUGUGUAACUCAGGCUGACCUGAAAUUGGUGACCCUCCUGCCUCAGCCUCCCUAAUGCCCUGUGACACCAUGCCCGCUUUGCCACCCCCUUUAAGUGUCUCCCAUGCCUCACUUUCCUCCUCUUAGCCUCCAAGUUGGCAACAUUCAAGCCCAUUAGGACCUGGCAUCCCCCUGACAGCCUUCUGGAGCUCACAGGACUCGCUGGCUUCUUUUCCAGGAGGGAAACUGAAGCUCAGAGAAGCCAGAGGCCAAAUAAGAACCAGGGGAGGACUGAGGAUCCUGCCGGGAUGACAGUCCCGGAACAAGAAAUGUCAAGGUCUGAAGAUGUGGCUCAGUGCGUGCAGUGUUUGCUUAACAUGCUCCAGGCCUUAAAGCCACGUAAACCUGAGGAGGACCGCUGUCCUGUAGUCCCAGCACUAAUCCGAGGUUCAACUCAUCCUCCCUUUUGUCGCUUUUGAAGCCUGCCGGUGCUACAAGAGACCUUGUCCCACAAAGAAAAAGUGAGAAUGUCAUGGUUGCGCUGGCCUUUACUAAUACCUGCAGUCUGCAAUCUGGAAAGCAGAGGCUAAACCCGAGACCAUUCUUGGCUACUUAGGAGUUCCAGGCCAGCCAGGCGUAGGAAGCAAGAGCCUAUCUCAAAAAUAAAAAAUAAUAAAUAAUAAAGGGGGUGGGGGAGUAC